GGAAAUGCAGACCCAAAGGCACAGUUAGAUUGAACACUUACAUACAGAAUUAGACAAAGAGUCAUGAAAUGUGAAAAUGUCACAAGGCCAAGAAACUUGGGCUGAGUGGUUAAUUGAGUGAAAAAGUGGCUUGGAAGGUAUCUCCGCCCUAUGAAGGCCUUGAUGGGGAGCAACUCAGGCCUUGAAGGUAAAUGUCCUGUCCCACAGGUGCCAUGAGCUCCGGGAAGUAGAGACGUGAUCAGACUCCCCUGCUUCAGCCUUGUACUUGUCACCGGAGGGAGAUGUGCAGGUGCAAGCCCGACCAAGGGACACCUCCGUGGCCAUGACAGCUUUUCUUCUUAAAAGAAAAAACUGGACCGUGGGUUCAGAAAUCCAAAUCCAUUUGUUUAUACUCG
This 395-nucleotide long non-coding RNA is filed under the name Pan troglodytes (chimpanzee). RNAcentral describes it as "long non-coding RNA NONPTRT017323". The record is from RNAcentral. Lineage: Eukaryota; Metazoa; Chordata; Mammalia; Primates; Hominidae.